Molecule: ribosomal RNA, 242 nt
Filed under: uncultured bacterium
Lineage: Bacteria
Description: partial 16S ribosomal RNA
Rfam family: Bacterial small subunit ribosomal RNA
Source: RNAcentral
UGGGUAACCUGCCUCAAAGAGGGGAAUAGCCUCCCGAAAGGGAGAUUAAUACCGCAUAAUAUGUUUGGGUCGCAUGACUUUAACAUCAAAGGAUUUUCUUUUAGAAAUUCCACUUUGAGAUGGACCCGCGGCGCAUUAGCUAGUUGGUGAGGUAACGGCUCACCAAGGCAACGAUGCGUAGCCGACCUGAGAGGGUGAUCGGCCACAUUGGAACUGAGACACGGUCCAGACUCCGUAGGAGG